RNAcentral lists this ribosomal RNA (637 nucleotides) under uncultured bacterium. Its description in RNAcentral is "bacterial SSU rRNA". It matches the Rfam family "Bacterial small subunit ribosomal RNA", at positions 607 to 1244 of the family's 1533-position model. The record is from RNAcentral.
GCUCAACCGAGGAAGUGCUUCGAAAACUGGUAAACUUGAGUGCAGAAGAGGAAAGUGGAACUCCAUGUGUAGCGGUGGAAUGCGUAGAUAUAUGGAAGAACACCAGUGGCGAAGGCGGCUUUCUGGUCUGUAACUGACGCUGAGAUUCGAAAGCAUGGGUAGCAAACAGGAUUAGAUACCCUGGUAGUCCAUGCCGUAAACGAUGAGUGCUAAGUGUUGGAGGGUUUCCGCCCUACAGUGCUGCAGCUAACGCAUUAAGCACUCCGCCUGGGGAGUACGACCGCAAGGUUGAAACUCAAAGGAAUUGACGGGGGCCCGCACAAGCGGUGGAGCAUGUGGUUUAAUUCGAAGCAACGCGAAGAACCUUACCAGGUCUUGACAUACCAUGAAAAGCUUAGAGAUAAGUCUUUCCCUUCGGGGACAUGGAUACAGGUGGUGCAUGGUUGUCGUCAGCUCGUGUCGUGAGAUGUUGGGUUAAGUCCCGCAACGAGCGCAACCCUUAUUAUCAGUUGCCAGCAUUCAGUUGGGCACUCUGGUGAGACUGCCGGUGACAAACCGGAGGAAGGUGGGGACGACGUCAAAUCAUCAUGCCCCUUAUGACCUGGGCUACACACGUGCUACAAUGGUCGGUACAACG